This 527-nucleotide ribosomal RNA is filed under the name Psychrobacter sp. NG254. RNAcentral describes it as "partial 23S ribosomal RNA". It matches the Rfam family "Bacterial large subunit ribosomal RNA", at positions 724 to 1224 of the family's 2925-position model. Lineage: Bacteria; Pseudomonadati; Pseudomonadota; Gammaproteobacteria; Moraxellales; Moraxellaceae. The record is from RNAcentral.
AGUGAUCUAUCCAUGGCCAGGUUGAAGCGUGUGUAAGAGCACGUGGAGGACCGAACCCACUUAGGUUGAAAACUGAGGGGAUGAGCUGUGGAUAGGGGUGAAAGGCCAAUCAAACUUCGUGAUAGCUGGUUCUCUCCGAAAUGCAUUUAGGUGCAGCGUUGCGUGUUUCUUGCCGGAGGUAGAGCUACUGGAUAGCUGAUGGGCCCUAAAAGGUUACUGACGUUAGCCAAACUCCGAAUGCCGGUAAGUGAGAGCGCAGCAGUGAGACGGUGGGGGAUAAGCUUCAUCGUCGAGAGGGUAACAGCCCAGACUACCAACUAAGGUCCCCAAGCGUGUGCUAAGUGGGAAAGGAUGUGGAGUUGCAUAGACAACCAGGAUGUUGGCUUAGAGGCAGCCACUCGUUCAAAGAGUGCGUAAUAGCUCACUGGUCGAGUGAUUCCGCGCCGACAAUGUAACGGGGCUCAAGCACACCACCGAAGUUGUAGAUUUCGUAUGUUAGGUAAGCCUUCGUGGUUCAGCCGUACGGA